RNAcentral lists this ribosomal RNA (253 nucleotides) under uncultured Zavarzinella sp. RNAcentral describes it as "partial 16S ribosomal RNA". It matches the Rfam family "Bacterial small subunit ribosomal RNA", at positions 524 to 776 of the family's 1533-position model. Lineage: Bacteria; Pseudomonadati; Planctomycetota; Planctomycetia; Gemmatales; Gemmataceae. The record is from RNAcentral.
GACGAACCGUCCUAACGUUGUUCGGAAUCACUGGGCUUAAAGGGCGCGUAGGCGGGUCAGCAAGUCCGGGGUGAAAUCUUUCGGCUCAACCGGAAAAUAGCCUUGGAUACUGCUGGUCUCGAGGGAGGUAGGGGCCUGUGGAACUUCCGGUGGAGCGGUGAAAUGCGUUGAUAUCGGAAGGAACGCCGGUGGCGAAGGCGGCAUCCUGGACCAACACUGACACUGAGGAGCGAAAGCCAGGGGAGCAAACGGG